This 219-nucleotide ribosomal RNA is filed under the name Micropygomyia rorotaensis. Its description in RNAcentral is "partial 16S ribosomal RNA". Lineage: Eukaryota; Metazoa; Arthropoda; Insecta; Diptera; Psychodidae. The record is from RNAcentral.
GAUCUUUAUAUAUUAAAUAAUUUAGUAAAAAUUAGUUAAAGGUUAUUUUUAAAUUAUUUUUAUAUUAUAUUGGGGUAAUAAUAAAAUUUUAUAAAUUUUUAUUUAUUAAAUACAAUUAUAAUUGAUUAUUUGAUCCAAUAAUAUUGAUUUUAAAUUUAAGUUACCUUAGGGAUAACAGCGUAAUGAUUUUUGAGAGUUCUUAUCGAUAAAAUAGUUUGU